UACGUAGGGGGCGAGCGUUGUCCGGAAUUAUUGGGCGUAAAGAGCUCGUAGGCGGUCUGUUGCGUCCGCUGUGAAAACUCGAGGCUCAACCUCGAGACGUCGGUUGAAACCGUACGGCUAGAGUCCGGAAGAGGAGAGUGGAAUUCCCGGUGUAGCGGUGAAAUGCGCAGAUAUCGGGAAGAACACCCGUGGCGAAGGCGGCUCUCUGGGACGGUACUGACGCUGAGACGCGAAAGCGUGGGGAGCGAACAGG
RNAcentral lists this ribosomal RNA (253 nucleotides) under uncultured bacterium. RNAcentral describes it as "partial 16S ribosomal RNA". It matches the Rfam family "Bacterial small subunit ribosomal RNA", at positions 524 to 776 of the family's 1533-position model. The record is from RNAcentral.